Molecule: long non-coding RNA, 601 nt
Filed under: Cricetulus griseus (Chinese hamster)
Lineage: Eukaryota; Metazoa; Chordata; Mammalia; Rodentia; Cricetidae
Description: lncRNA (ENSCGRG00015032697.1)
Source: RNAcentral
GAACACAUUUGGCACCUUGUUGCUGUGUCCUCACAUGGUACACAUUGGAAGAAGGACCAAAAGGAUUUACCUAGUCACCAUUCCCUUUCUUAAACACUGAUCCCCAUCUGCACCUUGGUUGGGCAGCCCUCACAGUUUCCUCACUUCCUAAUUGUCUCACCUUUUAAUGCUGUUGCACUGGAGACUAAGUUCCAAGAUGUAGCCAGCACCAUAUCUUCCUGCAUGCCACCAUGUUCCAAGCCAUGAUGAUAAUGGACUGAACCUCUGAAACUUAAAAUAAAUGGCAGGUUUUGUAUUAGAAGGAGAAGAAGGAAGAGGAGGAAGAAGAAAAGAAAAACAAACAUCAACUUGACAAAUAAAUACACCACCACUGACCUGACUCCCAGCUUGUAAUCUACUUUUGUGUGUUGUUUUACUUCAUUCCUUAAAGUUGUCUAUUAUAUUCAUUGAAAUCUUUAUGAAAUAUUUUCAGAGAUUUCAUAUUUGCCGAGACACUAUCCUCCUUCAUGUGAUACUAACUUUUAAUAAAGACAGCAUUUCUUAUUGCUCCAUCCUAUUGAGUGCUCUUGACAUUUAUUUCAAGCAUCAAUUGUUACCAAUA